This 269-nucleotide unclassified non-coding RNA is filed under the name plant metagenome. Its description in RNAcentral is "partial contains small subunit ribosomal RNA, internal transcribed spacer 1, and 5.8S ribosomal RNA". The record is from RNAcentral.
UUUCCGUAGGUGAACCUGCGGAAGGAUCAUUAAUGAGUUGUCAUGGGGUUCGAUGCUGGCAGCCAAUUUUUGGAUGCAUGUGCUUGCCCUAACAAUCAUCUUCCAAACACCUGUGCACAUUUUUGAGGGAGUCUUGAGUUGGUUGCCGCUCUUGGGUGAUUUUCUCACAUUCCCUUAAAUCAUUAUACGCUAUUAACAAUGUUGAACGUGCUCUGUGCCGCAAGGCUAUUAAUAUAAUACAACUUUUAACAACGGAUCUCUUGGCUCUC